CGGUCUGAAAAACAUUCACCAGAAUAGAAUGUUGCUUUUUACUUUGCUCCUUCUCAUUUACAUUGUGAUCUUCAUGGGUAAUUGCUUCAUCAUUGCUUUAGUGCCAACAAUGACUCACCUCCAUACACCUAUGUACUUCUUUCUGGGUAACCUCUCAUUAUCUGAUGUGUUGUUGACAACUAAUAUUGUACCCAACAUGCUACACAUUCUAUGGACAGAAGAAGAAGCCAUGUCAAUUGCUGGUUGCGUCUUGCAGUUCUAUAUUUUUGGUUCACUAACAGCUACAGAGUGUUUACUGUUAACAGUGAUGUCCUAUGACCGUUACCUGGCUAUAUGUAACCCACUUCGAUAUUCAUCCAUAAUGACCAGUACCCUUUGUCGUUCUCUCAUUUGUUUUUCUUGGCUUGUUGGAUUUAUCCCUACUCUUCCAGUUUCUGUAAGUGUAUACAAGUUGCAGUACUGUGAUCGGAACACUAUUGACCAUUUCUUCUGUGACCUUGCCCCAUUCUUAAACCUUGCAUGCUCAGACACUACAACAGUCAAAAUGUUAGCUUUCUUGUUGUCUUUUUUGGUUACGUUCUUUCCAUUUCUACUUAUUAUAAUGUCUUAUAUCUCCAUAAUGUAUACGAUUAUUAGGAUGCGCUCUGAGAAAGGAAGACAGAAGGCCUUCUCAACAUGCAGCUCCCAUCUUGUAGUAGUGUCCUUGUACUAUGGGACACUCUUUAUUCUCUAUGGCAUACCAGCACAAAAGCAUUUAAUAGGCAUUAACAAACUGCUUUCUCUUCU
Pelobates cultripes (western spadefoot toad) is the source of this 786-nucleotide non-coding RNA. The record is from the annotation of a GenBank genome assembly. Lineage: Eukaryota; Metazoa; Chordata; Amphibia; Anura; Pelobatidae.